RNAcentral lists this ribosomal RNA (492 nucleotides) under uncultured bacterium. RNAcentral's name for it is "partial 16S ribosomal RNA". It matches the Rfam family "Bacterial small subunit ribosomal RNA", at positions 29 to 507 of the family's 1533-position model. The record is from RNAcentral.
AGUGAACGCUGGCGGUAGGCCUAACACAUGCAAGUCGAACGGCAGCACAGUAAGAGCUUGCUCUUACGGGUGGCGAGUGGCGGACGGGUGAGGAAUACAUCGGAAUCUACUUUUUUGUGGGGGAUAACGUAGGGAAACUUACGCUAAUACCGCAUACGACCUACGGGUGAAAGCAGGGGAUCUUCGGACCUUGCGCGAUUGAAUGAGCCGAUGUCGGAUUAGCUAGUUGGCGGGGUAAAGGCCCACCAAGGCGACGAUCCGUAGCUGGUCUGAGAGGAUGAUCAGCCACACUGGAACUGAGACACGGUCCAGACUCCUACGGGAGGCAGCAGUGGGGAAUAUUGGACAAUGGGCGCAAGCCUGAUCCAGCCAUACCGCGUGGGUGAAGAAGGCCUUCGGGUUGUAAAGCCCUUUUGUUGGGAAAGAAAAGCAGCAGGUUAAUACCCCGCUGUUCUGACGGUACCCAAGGAAUAAGCACCGGCUAACUUCGUG